This is a long non-coding RNA of Chinchilla lanigera (long-tailed chinchilla), 3509 nucleotides long. NCBI's taxonomy places the organism in Eukaryota, Metazoa, Chordata, Mammalia, Rodentia, Chinchillidae. The record is from Ensembl.
GCAGCGGAGGAGGAGGCGCGCGGCCGGGGCGCGGCCAGCGGGGUCCCCGCACGCGCUAGGAGGGCGCAGAGCCGGUCGCCUUGGGGCUCAGCCCUCCCCUCCCCCACCCGCAGGGGCUUUGUGACCUCUGCUCGCCCCAGAGGUGCCGGGCCGCUCCGCUCCGCGCAGCCCCUCCCAGUCCCAGGUGGCAGGGUCUCGGCCUUCCUGCACAACCUUCUCCGCGCUCAGAUAAGGUUUAAUUUUGUGUCCAGGAGCAGGGGACAGGGAGGCGCAUUUACGGAUUUCAGGUUGCGGGUCCCCUGCAACGUCCGGUCACCCGCAGCCGUCCCAGCCCCCCAUGUCAAAUCGCCAUUCCCCCCCCCCCACCCCGCUCCCAAACGUGCCGCAUGAGCACAGCGCUGGAAGGCCACAUCGCCACCCCAAUUCCGUAUGCACACUACUAACGUGAGUGGGGAUGGUCUCCCCCACCCCGGGUCGUGAGUUCACAUUUCCAGCGCUCGGUGCACAGGCGCACACGCCCGCACUCUCCGCGAGACACGCCGUCCCUCGCGCCUGCUCGGGCGCCAACCUUGCCGGCCGGCGUUGUAUAAAUAACACCAGCCCUGCGGCAAACGCUGCAUUGGCUUAUUUUCUGCUGUUCUCAGAGCUCACGCCGGGUUGGCUUUCAGAUCACCCUGUCAUCGAAGCCUCACCUUCGCAGCCCAGCCUGCUGGACCUCACAGAUGAAGUGGGGAAGGGGUCAUGGCUCAACUGUCAGAGCAAGAGCCUCCUCCAGCAGGUUUGAAUCCAGUAUUGGGAUUUGACGUGUCAACUUUCUCUUCCUCAUUCUGCGGGGCUGCUUAGCAAACCAUAAGAAAGCUUUUAAGAAGAUACUUAUUUAAAAGAAGACAGAACGUGAUGGAUAUAUUAAUUUCCUUGACUGUAGUAAUUACUUCAUUGUAUAUGUCCCACUACCCUGCACACCUGAAAUAUAUACAAUAAAAUGAAGGAAAAGUUUUGCAGAAAUAGAGUAAGUUCUGUUUGCCCUUUGCGAGGGGUAUUUGUUAAUGUGCAUUGUGGGUGGGAGAGCCCAUAGUCCUGAAGGAAGAACUUCAUUUUGAAGCCUAACAGGUGAUAACGAUCCUCAGAGGGCCCAUUCCUAGACUCUGGACAUGCACUGGGAAAUAGUACUAAGAUUUAAGCUGAAAGGAAUCAGCGCAGGAUGCUUGGAGUUCAUCAUCUGCUACUCACUCCAGGCACUGUAAUGAAGUUGUUGAUUAGAUUAGAGGUUUCCCUAAGUCCCUCUAGGAUCCACAUUUCCCCCAAAUCUAGUCAAGAAAAUUAAAAUGUAACUAAUUUAGAUAGACGGGCCUUCUGUUUAUUAAAACAUGCACAAAUGACUUCAUAGUGGACCUAGAACAGAAGGGGUGAAGGGAGAGGGGCUGAUGCUUGGACAGCUCCGGGGUAUGUUGGUCCACCAGUUAGUCCUGACAAGGCCACCAGACCUGUUCUAAUUUUCUGCAUAGCUGGUUGCCGUUACCUGCUAUUUUUCUUGUUUACUUAUUGAUUUACUUCCCCCCACUUCCAGAAUGUAAGCACCAGUGGGACUGAUGCUUUGUCCUCAGCUUUAUUCCUGGGCACUCAAAUGGUUCCUAUCGCACGGAAGAUUCUUAAUGCCUGUUUGUUGAAUAAAUGAGUAUGCCCAGUUAUCAUUUGACGACACUAUCUGGUAAGAUCAUACGACUGGGUUUACUUUGAUUCUUAAGCCGCUAAGCAAGCUUUUCAUAUUCGUCCAAAGUCACAGUGCUCGGAUCAGUCAGCAUGAGAAUUCAAGUGAAAUUGGCAACUAUAUUUCUCUUUCUCUCUUCUCCUUUGGUUUCUCUCUUGUUUCUCUCUCUUCCUGGUGGUAUUGGGGAUGAAACCCACAGCUUUUGCACUGAGCUACACCCCCAGACUUACAGUUUUUAUUUUGAAAGAGGGUCUCACUGAGUUGCUGUUUCCCAGGCUGGGCUCCAGCUUGUGGUCUUCCUGCCUCAGCCUCCCAGAGAAACGGUAUGAAAGCUGUAGACCACCACACGAGGCGGCAGUUCUAUUUCUUAUUGAAGGCUCUUCCGAUUAAUGGGCUCUCUCCGGGUGUGAAGUUCUUGUGGGCAGCUGUCGACUUGAAGAGGGUGGCUUAUAGGCCAAAUGCAGCUCAAAGACCACGUGCAGUGUUUCCAGAAAAACAAUUGCCAACAUUUCAAAUUUCAGAAAUUGAUUAUUUUUAAAAAUGUGUUUGGGGACUCGCCUAACGCAGCAGAAGCCCAGGCCAUUUUGAUGCCCUGUGUUUGUAGCUUCCUUGGGCUGCGUAAGCGGGCAGGUGUCCUCCAGCUCAUGUGCAUCCCCGUGAGUACCUUUUGGCCCUCAGAAGCAUCUGCACUUGUGACCUUAGAUUUAUAUUAGUAUCUCAAAUGCACUGAUCUCCACGGAGAAGCUGAGUCAUUCUCUUUGCCUUUCAAAGCCUGUUAAAUAAUCCCCCAAUGUAUAAGUCCCUAAAAACUGAGAGAAUAAAGAAGAUAAGUGAAGGAUAUAAUACACUCGCCAACACACAUGAAUAAUUUUGUUUCCCUGGUGAUAACAAGAGAACAAAAAGGGUUUUUGACUUCUAAAACUGAUGGAAACCUAAUUUUAUUUAUUUAUUUAUUUAUUCUCCAGUACCAGGAAUUGAACUCAUGACCUUGGGCUUGCCAGGCGGGUGCUGUGCCACUGAGCUAAAUCCCCAGCCCUGGAGACCUAAUUUUAAAUGUCUCCAAAAUUCUGUAAGAGUUAAUUCCAAGGAGCUGGUGUCAAGGUUAAUUAACUUUAAAUGUAUAAUACCCAUCAUAUCAAAUAGAUUUCAUACUGGUUGUAUUUGUGUAUUUAUAUUGUUUAUAUUUGAAUUAUAGAUGGAUAGGUCACAUAUUGGCAUGUCACAUGUCUUUCUUUUUUGCUUAUGGCAGCUUGAUUUACUCCUUUCAAAUAAUUAUUUGAGAAGUGGUUAUUUUCAUUUUGAAAAAGCGGGAGCAAUAUGAAAUAAUUUCCAAUUCUAGUUGUGCAUACAGUCCUUGCAUAUCACCUAUAUAAUCUUUAGACUUUUGGAAUGUCAACUCUGACUCUUUAAUAAGGAACUUGACAUUUACAAAACCUAUCGUAAAUGAAAAUGAAAAGGCUACUUUCAUUCAGUGGUAGAAGUAAUAAAAAUGUCACAUAAUCUAUCCUAAGGAAAGCCACAGUAAUGGCUUGAGAAAAACUACCUGCUCAUCCAGUACAUACCAAAUUCUUCCUUCUUGAUCAGAAGGCUACAUAAAAAUAACUAAGUGAGGAAUAGAAAACUUCUAUGCAAAAAGCUAUCGCAUUGCAAGGUAGGGUCCAAUGACUCUCAAAAUCUUAGUCAAAAUUUAACUUUGAACUCUUUUAUUGAGUUAAAAACAAUUGUAACAAAGAUGAGCUAGAAUUUGACGUUGGCUUAUCUGCUAUCUUAGUCAAAAUUUAACUUUGAACUCUUUUAUUGA